RNAcentral lists this ribosomal RNA (473 nucleotides) under uncultured organism. RNAcentral describes it as "partial 16S ribosomal RNA". It matches the Rfam family "Bacterial small subunit ribosomal RNA", at positions 332 to 797 of the family's 1533-position model. The record is from RNAcentral.
UACACUCCUACGGGAGGCAGCAGUGGGGAAUUUUGGACAAUGGGCGAAAGCCUGAUCCAGCAAUGCCGCGUGAGUGAAGAAGGCCUUCGGGUUGUAAAGCUCUUUUGUCAGGGAAGAAACGGUGAGAGCUAAUAUCUUUUGCUAAUGACGGUACCUGAAGAAUAAGCACCGGCUAACUACGUGCCAGCAGCCGCGGUAAUACGUAGGGUGCAAGCGUUAAUCGGAAUUACUGGGCGUAAAGCGUGCGCAGGCGGUUUUGUAAGUCUGAUGUGAAAUCCCCGGGCUCAACCUGGGAAUUGCAUUGGAGACUGCAAGGCUAGAAUCUGGCAGAGGGGGGUAGAAUUCCACGUGUAGCAGUGAAAUGCGUAGAUAUGUGGAGGAACACCGAUGGCGAAGGCAGCCCCCUGGGUCAAGAUUGACGCUCAUGCACGAAAGCGUGGGGAGCAAACAGGAUUAGAAACCCGAGUAGUCCC